RNAcentral lists this long non-coding RNA (276 nucleotides) under Elaeis guineensis (African oil palm). RNAcentral's name for it is "long non-coding RNA (EGUI_LNC071060)". The record is from RNAcentral. Lineage: Eukaryota; Viridiplantae; Streptophyta; Magnoliopsida; Arecales; Arecaceae.
GCUCCCGCAGGAGUUCGGUCGAAGUCCACAUGCAAUUAAGGUCAGGGACGAAGUUCGGCUCCAGUAGGAGUCCGGACGGAGUUUACCUGCGAUUAAAUUCAGGGGCGAAGUCCGGCUCCCUUAAGAGUCCGGAUGAAGUUUACCUGUAAGUGAAGUCGUGGGUGGAGCCCGACUCCCAUAGGAGUCCGGGCGAAGCCUUCCCGCAGUCGAGGUCGAGGAUGGAGCCCGGCUCCCAUGGGAGUCCGGGCGAAGCCUUCCAGCAGUUGAGGUUGGGGA